AUGUGGAGAGGGGGAGGGGAUGGUGGGGAUGGUGGGGGUGGAGGGGGAGUAGAGGAGGCCACGGACUUCGAGGUCUGCAUCGUCGUGCCCAAGCUCUCGCGCGCCGCAACGGGAGAGGACUGCGUGGCGAGUCUGGUGCGGGAGCUCGAGGGCGCCGGCCUGCUCGUCGAGCGCGUCCGCGGCGUCCCCGCCGAGUUCAUCAAGCUGUCUGCGUCCAUGGGGAUUCUGGGCAGAGCCGCUUCUGAGAUGCAGAUGAAGAAGCUUACCUGCAUCGGAAUGGAGCUGCAGUUUGAAUGGGAACAGGUGGCAGCAUUCGUCAGGCAGCCUGAUGGUUCCCUCUUUAGCUGGCGAGAGCGGUUUACCUGUUUCCGCUACUUGAUAUAUGGCAUUGUGAACAAGACCAACUCUGAAAUAUCUCUCAAAUUUGACGAUAAAGAGUUCUAUUGGAAACAAAACGAGUCACUAUUGCGUAGGCUUGAAGAUGAAGGAGUUGUAAAGCUAGUCUUCCCUUUGCAUGAGGAAAUUAAAAGGAAACAGCUCCUGAGAAAUUGGGCACUUAACUGGCAUGACUUCACAUGGCAACCUAUUGAUGAAGUUUACUCCUAUUUUGGAACCAAGNNNNNNNNNUACUUUGCUUUCCUAGGAAUGUAUACGCGUUGGCUAUUCUUUCCAGCCGUAUCUGGAUUGGCCACUCAGCUUAUAGAUUUUGGGUCAUUCCAGUGGCUGGUUCUUCCUGCUUUCUUUAUCUUCGUGAUUUCUUGGGCUGUCUUCUUUUUGCAAUUUUGGAAAAGGAAGAAUUCAGCACUUCUUGCUAGAUGGGGCAUUAAUUAUUCAUUUGCUGAAUACAAAGCUUCGGCCAACGAACUGGAACCAAUAAGGCAUUAUCUUUCUAUUGAGCGUGAGGAGGAAAAGAAUUUCGAUGAUGCGCCUGCUGAGAAAAGGAGAUUGCAAAGAAACGAGUGGUCUGGUGUCCUUCUAAGAAUUAGGAACAAUGCGAUUAUUGUUCUGGGUAUUAUUUGUCUUCAGCUGCCAUUUGAGUUGGCCUAUGCUCAUUUGUAUGAAAAAACUGAAACUGAGGCGCUGAGGUAUGUCUUGACUGCACUAUAUCUUGUUGCAAUUCAGUAUUAUACAAGGAUUGGUGGAAAGGUGUCUGUCAUUCUAAUAAAGUAUGAAAACAACCAAGGAGAGCAGUCUAGUGCUGAUAGUUUGAUUUAUAAGGUUUUCGGUCUAUACUUCAUGCAAUCAUACAUUGGGUUGUUUUACCAUGCUUCCCUUUAUCGUGACAUUUUGACACUCCGGAAAGUCCUUAUUCAACGUCUAGUCGUGUCUCAGGUGUUGGAAAAUCUGAUUGAGAAUUCUAUUCCUUAUCUCAAAUACAGCUACAAGAAGUACAGUGCUGUUCACAAGAAAAGAGAGAGAGAAUCACCAUCAGGGAAGUCAGUUCGAUUAUCAACAAGAGUGGAGAAAGAAUAUUUAAAACCCUCUUAUACUGCAAGCAUUGGAGAAGAGCUUGAAGAUGGUCUGUUUGAUGAUUUUCUUGAGCUAGCUCUUCAGUUUGGGAUGAUCAUGAUGUUUGCUUGCGCCUUUCCAUUGAUAUUCUGCUUUGCUGCUCUGAACAAUGCAACUGAAAUAAGAGCGGAUGCAUUGAAGUUGUUAGUCAUGUUGAAAAGACCUGUUCCCCGUGCUGCAGCUACAAUUGGAGCGUGGUUGAACAUAUUCCAGUUCCUGAUCGUAAUGGCAAUCUGCACCAACUGCUUGCUUCUUGUUUGUCUAUACGAUGAGGAGGGUAAAUGGCGGAUUGAGCCAGGACUCGCGGCAAUCCUUAUAAUGGAGCAUGCUCUCCUCUUAGUCAAGUUUGGCUUCUCGCACUUUGUCCCUGAGGAGCCUGCAUGGGUGAGAGCAAAUCGAGUGCGGUAUGUAGCUCAGGCACAGACUGUCUGCUCUCAACAACUAUUGAGGAGCAUUUCAAAACUUGAUAGGAAAUGGGAGUGAGGAGCAUUACCACCUUCAGUAUUUAGAAGGCAAAGCUAGUUUUGUAAACUAGGAUAGAGCAGAGAUUUGCCAAUCUCGUGUAGGUAGUGUAGAAAUUUUAGUGCACCAAUUACUGACGUCCUGGUGUUGCUAACUGUUCCCAUUGGUAAAUGUAUAUAUUGCUACAUAAUUUAUAGGAGAUUGGGUGGGGGCAUGUUGCCCAUCAUUGUGAUGGCUGUUACGGGCGGUUUCCUUGCAAGCGAGAUACAUCUGUGGUGUGAGUAUUAUUUUGAGGACCAUGGUUCACAACAGUGCGAAAUUAGCCCGCCAAUUUGCC
Molecule: ribosomal RNA, 2308 nt
Filed under: Triticum aestivum (bread wheat)
Lineage: Eukaryota; Viridiplantae; Streptophyta; Magnoliopsida; Poales; Poaceae
Description: partial small subunit ribosomal RNA
Source: RNAcentral